CCGGGACAGGCGCUGCGCUGAGGGAAGGCGCAGGGUGCUGAGGUGAAAAAGGAGCGGGGUGAAUACGGUCCACAUAGGAUUUAACGGCUAGAAGAAAUGUGGCACACAGCGAGAGAAAGCUUGUUGGGAUGCCCAUGUUCCUAUGAGCUUGGACGAAUGCUUUCUAGUAGUCUGUGACCUUACAGUGAUGGAUUCAGAGAUGUGAUUUAGAGCAUUCUGUGCACCCGCUUCUAGCUGACGCAUGCUAUGCACAUACCAGGAUCCACAUUAUUGAUGAUUUUGAGGAAAAAUCAAGGCCCCCAUGUACAGUUGUGACUUCCAGCACACACGAG
This 332-nucleotide long non-coding RNA is filed under the name Gallus gallus (chicken). The record is from RNAcentral. Lineage: Eukaryota; Metazoa; Chordata; Aves; Galliformes; Phasianidae.